GCCAGAUGUGGUAAUGCACACCUGUAGUCCUAGCUACUCAGGAGUCUGAGCUGGAAGAAUUGCUUGAGUCCAGGAAUCCUGGGCUGUAGUGCACUAUACUGAUCCAGUGUCUACACUAAGUUCAGCAUCAAUAUGGUGACUACUGGGAGUUGGUGACCACCAAGUUACAUAAGGAGAGGUGAACCGGCCCAAGUAGGAAACAGAGCAGGUCAAAACUCCCAUGCUGAUCAUUAGUAGAAAGACUGUGUAUGUUACAUUUAUGAAAGGAACACAGGGCACAUUGAAACUG
RNAcentral lists this signal recognition particle RNA (289 nucleotides) under Octodon degus (degu). RNAcentral's name for it is "Metazoan signal recognition particle RNA (ENSODEG00000025851.1)". It matches the Rfam family "Metazoan signal recognition particle RNA". Rfam says of the family: The signal recognition particle (SRP) is a universally conserved ribonucleoprotein. It is involved in the co-translational targeting of proteins to membranes. The eukaryotic SRP consists of a 300-nucleotide 7S RNA and six proteins: SRPs 72, 68, 54, 19, 14, and 9. The record is from RNAcentral. Lineage: Eukaryota; Metazoa; Chordata; Mammalia; Rodentia; Octodontidae.